CCAGACUCCUACGGGAGGCAGCAGUGAGGAAUAUUGGUCAAUGGGAGGAAUCCUGAACCAGCCAUGCCGCGUGCAGGACGACGGCUCUACGAGUUGUAAACUGCUUUUGUACCGGGGUAAAAUGCCUUACGAGUAGGGUUUUGAAAGUACAGUACGAAUAAGGAUCGGCUAACUCCGUGCCAGCAGCCGCGGUAAUACGGAGGAUCCGAGCGUUAUCCGGAUUCAUUGGGUUUAAAGGGUGCGCAGGCGGCGAGUUAAGUCAGCGGUAAAAUUUCGGGGCACAACCCCGACAAGCCGUUGAAACUGCAUCCCUUGAGUGCGCGAGAAGUAUGCGGAAUGCGUGGUGUAGCGGUGAAAUGCAUAGAUAUCACGCAGAACCCCGAUUGCGAAGGCAGCAUACCGGCGCGCAACUGACGCUCAUGCACGAAAGCGUGGGUAUCGAACAGGAUUAGAUACCCGAGUAU
This 464-nucleotide ribosomal RNA is filed under the name uncultured bacterium. RNAcentral's name for it is "bacterial SSU rRNA". It matches the Rfam family "Bacterial small subunit ribosomal RNA", at positions 331 to 793 of the family's 1533-position model. The record is from RNAcentral.